CUCCUCAAUUGUGUUUAGCUUUAAUUUCAAUUGUGUUUUCCUCAAAUCUCAUAUAAAAUCCCCAAUUGAUUUUGUCGCUCCUUACAUCUGUCAUUAGCUUUAAUUUGAAUUGUGUGUUCUUCCUCAAAUCCCAUAUAAAAACCCUAAUUGACUUUGUUGUUCCUUAAAUUUGUGGUUAGCUUUAGUUUCAAUUGUUCCCCAAUUUUGUUUUGAUUUGUGUAGCUGGAAGUCAAUCUUUCAUUCACUUUUUACUAUUUCUUAUCCUUUCUCUAAUUGCUAGUUCAAUUCAUAGUUGAUAUAAGUUGUGUGAUUGAUAACAUGCUCUGUAACUAUUGAAUAAGGUCAUAUCAUCAUUGUGGAACUGAAAUUAUAAAAUCUAAUAAUUAUGGUGGUGCUAAAUUCAUUUGUAUAGCUGCUAUAUGUGAUGUUGCUUUGAAUUGUUAUCAUAGGUGGGGUUAUUAAGUUUUAGAUAUCAAGGAAUGACAUUAUCACAUCUUUUUCACAGGUUCAGAUUUUUGGAGCUGGUGUUCGUUUCUUCUCUGCUGGCUUAUUAAUGUCAAUUGACAUUGGAGAACUUGGCAUUUCCUAUUAGCAAGAAAGGGGCAUAGUCGCCAAAAUCAAGUUAGCAUUCAUUAAUUCUCAACUCCAAGCAGGUUCCAAAUGCUUCCAGUAUCUCUGAUAUAACGAAUUCUGCAAGUAUCCAAACACUAAUGAACACUACAAGAAAAUUGCCCUAUACCCAUAGCAAUUUGGAGGAGGCUUACUCUCCCAUCCAAAUCAGCUCAUGGUAAUGCUAAGAUGAAAAGCACUGAUGGAUUCUUUUGAAGACAUAAAAUAACCAUGUUCAAGUGUAGAUUCAAGUCAUCAUUCAACAAGGUUGAAAAACUCAAAAGUGAAUUCAAAA
Molecule: long non-coding RNA, 904 nt
Organism: Trifolium pratense (red clover)
Lineage: Eukaryota; Viridiplantae; Streptophyta; Magnoliopsida; Fabales; Fabaceae
Exons: 5
Source: RefSeq, a predicted model, not a curated record